This 468-nucleotide ribosomal RNA is filed under the name uncultured bacterium. RNAcentral's name for it is "partial 16S ribosomal RNA". It matches the Rfam family "Bacterial small subunit ribosomal RNA", at positions 28 to 507 of the family's 1533-position model. The record is from RNAcentral.
GACGAACGCUGGCGGCGUGCUUAACACAUGCAAGUCGAACGGAAAGGCCCUGCUUUUGUGGGGUGCUCGAGUGGCGAACGGGUGAGUAACACGUGAGUAACCUGCCCUUGACUUUGGGAUAACUUCAGGAAACUGGGGCUAAUACCGGAUAGGAGCUCCUGCUGCAUGGUGGGGGUUGGAAAGUUUCGGCGGUUGGGGAUGGACUCGCGGCUUAUCAGCUUGUUGGUGGGGUAGUGGCUUACCAAGACUUUGACGGGUAGCCGGCCUGAGAGGGUGACCGGCCACAUUGGGACUGAGAUACGGCCCAGACUCCUACGGGAGGUAGCAGUGGGGAAUAUUGCACAAUGGGCGGAAGCCUGAUGCAGCAACGCCGCGUGCGGGAUGACGGCCUUCGGGUUGUAAACCGCUUUCGCCUGUGACGAAGCGUGAGUGACGGUAAUGGGUAAAGAAGCACCGGCUAACUACGUG